AAAACCGAUACAUGACUCCUGUAGAGCUUGAACUUGAACAGCAAACAGUUGAGGUCAGCCUUGAAGUCUCCCUCAAACUCAUGAGCAUCCCACUGGUCUCCUCACUGUGUAAAUCAGGCACAAGCCCAAGAGGAAAAACAUGACAGAUUCUUCCACUGGAAGAUCAAGAACCACAACACUGAAUACUCCAAGUGGUGACAAGCAAGGAGAGGAGCAACAGACCAGACAGUCGGAACUCCUCCCACGCAACUUCCCUGGCACAGACCAGCAUCACCACUCAGCAUCUCCCUCCUCUGCUGCUGGUCCUGUCACACAGCUGGGCUUCAAAAGAGGAUGCUCCUCUCCCACGUGCUUCAAAGAGAAACCAGGAGCCACAGAACAAUUACUCCCACUCACAAGACGAGGGGAAAUCCUCUUCUAACAAGGGAUCAUCCUGUUACAACGAGGAUGUCUGGUGAUUUAUGACUUGCUGCUUUAAACUCUCCUUCCCCUCUGAAGAAACACAGGAGACAGCAAAGCUGGAGGGAGAUACAAGAGAGAACUGACACUGGCAAUACUUGAAAUAUAGUGGGAGAGCUGGGAAAACCCUUUCUUUUGGUCCUCAUUAGCAUGACUUAAUUAAUACUUAUAAUCUUAUCAAACAGAGGUUGCCAUGCAGGAGGGAUGAGCAGGCUGGGAAUCAAAGCUUUAAUAAAUAGAUAUUUUAAGACCAAAAAA
Long non-coding RNA from Myiozetetes cayanensis, 717 nucleotides. RefSeq lists it as uncharacterized. The record is from RefSeq and is a predicted model, not a curated record. Lineage: Eukaryota; Metazoa; Chordata; Aves; Passeriformes; Tyrannidae. The transcript has 2 exons.